GACGAACGCUGGCGGCGUGCUUAACACAUGCAAGUCGAACGGAGAAGCACUGCUUGUGUUGUGGGCUCGAGGGGCAAGCGUGUGUAUAACGCGUGAAUAACGUGCCCUUCACUGUGGUAUGACUUGAAAACGCUGGGGAUAAUAGCAGAUAAGCUCUGCUGCUGCGGGGUGGGGGUGGGAAGAUUUCGGCGGUUGGGGUUGGACUCGCGGCUUAUCAGCUUGUUGGUGGGGUAUUGGCUUACCAAGGCUUGGACGGGUACCCGGCCUGAGAGGGUGACCGGCCACACUGGGACUGAGAAACGGCCCAGACUCCUACGGGAGGCAGCAGUGGGGAAUAUUGCACAAUGGGCGGAAGCCUGAUGCAGCAACGCCGCGUGCGGGAUGACGGCCUUCGGGUUGUAAACCGCUUUUGGCUGUGAAGAAGCGUGAGUGACGGUACCGGGUAAAGAAGCACCGGCUAACUACGUG
Molecule: ribosomal RNA, 468 nt
Filed under: uncultured bacterium
Lineage: Bacteria
Description: partial 16S ribosomal RNA
Rfam family: Bacterial small subunit ribosomal RNA
Source: RNAcentral